UGGAUUCUGGCUGGAUGCAGUGGGCCUGGAGUCCCAGCACAACCUUAUCUCUAGAAAAAAAAAAUUUUUCAAUUAACCAGGCAUGGCUCUGUGCUCCUGGAGUCCUAGCUACAGGGAGGCUGAGGCAGGAGGGUCUCUUGAGCCCAGGAGAUCAAGGCUGCAGUGGGCUAUGAUCACACCACUGCACUCCACCCUGGGUGACAGAGAUGUACCCUGUCUCUAAAAAAAUUUUUGUCAUGGAUUCUUUGGCCCCAACUCUGGAGUUUCUUAUUCAGUAACCUGUAGAAGGGCUCUAGCACCUAUCAUUUUAUCCAGGUAAUUCUGAUGUGCAGCUCCUAGACCAUAACACUCACCCCAGGCAUUUGCUACUUCCCUGCUCUCAGCCCUCUGGUGUUCAGGUCACCCUUGGACAGCUGCAUCUUCUCCUGUCUGGGGGUUCAUUCACAGUCUUCUCUCCAGCUUACCAUCCUUGGCUCCCUACCCGCUUCUUACCAAGUGUACAUGUUCCCCAGGUACGGCAUCACCAACAGCUUCAAACAGGAGGCCUCCCACUACCAGCCAAGGCCUGGAGGAGCUUCCACCAGAGCAGCCUGCUGUCCUCCACAGUGCCAGCCUCCCUGCCAGGAAGAGAACUCAGACAGUGGGAAAUGUGACAAGAAAAGCUCAGUCUGGACUACCCUGCAAUGUGGCUGCUACAGAACAAAUGCUUGUUGAAUUCCUGACCCUCAGUGUGAUGCUAUUAGGAGGUGGAGACUUUGGUGAUUACGAAAGCUCUGUCUUCAUGAAUGAGAUCAGUGCCCUUAUAAAAGAGAUUCUGGAGAGCUCCCUUGCCCAUCCCACCAUGUGAGGACACAGCAAGAAGGCGCCAUGUAUGAACCAGGAAAUGGGCCCUCACCAGACACAGUGCCUGCUCUGGGACUUCCCAGGCUCCAGAACUGUGAGAAAUAAAAGUCUGUUGUUUAUAAGCCACCCAGUCUAUGGUACUGUAUUAUGGUAGCCUAAACAGACUAAAACAGACGUUCUGGGGCAGGACCUGAGAGUUUAGAUGGCUAACAAGUUUCAGAUGAUGCUGAGGCUGCAGCAGGAACUUCUUGAUGUGGCUCAUGGGGUUCAGGAAGAUUAAUUUUCUCCAAGUGGAAAAAAGGUCAAAAGGGUGGAAAGGGAACUGGCAACAGGAGACAAC
Molecule: long non-coding RNA, 1183 nt
Filed under: Macaca mulatta (Rhesus monkey)
Lineage: Eukaryota; Metazoa; Chordata; Mammalia; Primates; Cercopithecidae
Description: lncRNA (ENSMMUG00000058567.1)
Source: RNAcentral